RNAcentral lists this transfer RNA (71 nucleotides) under Pseudorhombus pentophthalmus (fivespot flounder). RNAcentral describes it as "tRNA-Ser". It matches the Rfam family "tRNA". From Rfam's summary of the family: Transfer RNA (tRNA) molecules are approximately 80 nucleotides in length. Their secondary structure includes four short double-helical elements and three loops (D, anti-codon, and T loops). Lineage: Eukaryota; Metazoa; Chordata; Actinopteri; Pleuronectiformes; Paralichthyidae. The record is from RNAcentral.
AAGAAAGUGGCAGACCGGCUAUGUAGUUGGCUUGAAACCAAUUUAUGGGGGUUCGACUCCUCCCUUUCUCG